Molecule: long non-coding RNA, 381 nt
Filed under: Spirodela polyrhiza (greater duckweed)
Lineage: Eukaryota; Viridiplantae; Streptophyta; Magnoliopsida; Alismatales; Araceae
Description: long non-coding RNA (SPOL_LNC000901)
Source: RNAcentral
GAGAGACCUGUACGCCUCGAGGGGGACCUUAGCCUCCUCCGAGGAGCACGACCUGGAAGUCGGAGCCGAAUUCCUCGAGGUAAAUACGGUGAAGUAAUUUGGCCAUAUUCCGGUAAUUUUGAUAAAUUCGAAGCAGAAUGAAUCUAGACCUCAGACUGCCCAGGCCACAUCUCGAAUGACGUCCCCUGCCCUGUUGCAGUCCAACACGGCACUGAGCUCGCAGCAGGAGACCAGGCUCAAACAGAUGGGGGCCACGGUGAGGAACGCGUCCUCCUACGCACAGAAGCUGAAGAUGAACGAGGAGAGGGAGAAGUUGGCGAGGAAGGUUAUGGCGAAAAUGUCCAUCGAGCAGCUGUCCGAGCUUCUUUCGUUCUACCACAU